RNAcentral lists this ribosomal RNA (554 nucleotides) under Candida tropicalis. Its description in RNAcentral is "partial large subunit ribosomal RNA". It matches the Rfam family "Eukaryotic large subunit ribosomal RNA", at positions 88 to 659 of the family's 3401-position model. Lineage: Eukaryota; Fungi; Ascomycota; Pichiomycetes; Serinales; Debaryomycetaceae. The record is from RNAcentral.
GGCGAGUGAAGCGGCAAAGCUCAAAUUUGAAAUCUGGCUCUUUCAGAGUCCGAGUUGUAAUUUGAAGAAGGUAUCUUUGGGUCUGGCUCUUGUCUAUGUUUCUUGGAACAGAACGUCACAGAGGGUGAGAAUCCCGUGCGAUGAGAUGAUCCAGGCCUAUGUAAAGUUCCUUCGAAGAGUCGAGUUGUUUGGGAAUGCAGCUCUAAGUGGGUGGUAAAUUCCAUCUAAAGCUAAAUAUUGGCGAGAGACCGAUAGCGAACAAGUACAGUGAUGGAAAGAUGAAAAGAACUUUGAAAAGAGAGUGAAAAAGUACGUGAAAUUGUUGAAAGGGAAGGGCUUGAGAUCAGACUUGGUAUUUUGUAUGUUACUUCUUCGGGGGUGGCCUCUACAGUUUAUCGGGCCAGCAUCAGUUUGGGCGGUAGGAGAAUUGCGUUGGAAUGUGGCACGGCUUCGGUUGUGUGUUAUAGCCUUCGUCGAUACUGCCAGCCUAGACUGAGGACUGCGGUUUAUACCUAGGAUGUUGGCAUAAUGAUCUUAAGUCGCCCGUCUUGAAA